UACAGAGGUCUCAAGCGUUGUUCGGAUUCAUUGGGCGUAAAGGGCGCGUAGGCGGCUUUGCGUGUCUUUCGUGAAAUCCCUCGGCUCAACUGAGGACGUGCGGAAGAAACUGCAGGGCUGGAGUCCGGGAGAGGAGGGUGGAAUUCCCAGUGUAGCGGUGAAAUGCGUAGAUAUUGGGAGGAACACCGGUGGCGAAGGCGGCCCUCUGGGACCCGGUACUGACGCUGAUGCGCGAAAGCGUGGGGAGCAAACGGG
This 255-nucleotide ribosomal RNA is filed under the name uncultured bacterium. RNAcentral's name for it is "partial 16S ribosomal RNA". It matches the Rfam family "Bacterial small subunit ribosomal RNA", at positions 524 to 776 of the family's 1533-position model. The record is from RNAcentral.